UACGUAGGCAGCAAGCGUUGUUCGGAGUUACUGGGCGUAAAGGGUGUGUAGGCGGUUUUUUAAGUUUGGUGUGAAAUCUCCCGGCUCAACCGGGAGGGUGCGCCGAAUACUGGGGGACUCGAGUGCGGGAGAGGAAAGUGGAAUUCCUGGUGUAGCGGUGAAAUGCGUAGAUAUCAGGAGGAACACCGGUGGUGUAGACGGCUUUCUGGACCGUAACUGACGCUGAGACACGAAAGCGUGGGUAGCAAACAGG
RNAcentral lists this ribosomal RNA (253 nucleotides) under uncultured bacterium. Its description in RNAcentral is "partial 16S ribosomal RNA". It matches the Rfam family "Bacterial small subunit ribosomal RNA", at positions 524 to 776 of the family's 1533-position model. The record is from RNAcentral.